Molecule: unclassified non-coding RNA, 221 nt
Filed under: uncultured Actinomycetes bacterium
Lineage: Bacteria; Bacillati; Actinomycetota; Actinomycetes
Description: uncultured actinobacterium contains 16S-23S intergenic spacer region
Source: RNAcentral
UCCGAGUUGACCCCGGCAGUCUUCGAUGAGUCCCCGCCAUAACGCGCUGGCAACAUCGAACGAGGGUUGCGCUCGUUGCGGGACUUAACCCAACAUCUCACGACACGAGCUGACGACAGCCAUGCACCACCUGUCACCGACCCCGAAGGACCCCGCAUCUCUGCGAGAUUUCCGGCGAUGUCAAACCCAGGUAAGGUGGGGAUGACGUAUGCGUAACAGAA